RNAcentral lists this long non-coding RNA (870 nucleotides) under Cyanistes caeruleus (blue tit). RNAcentral describes it as "lncRNA (ENSCCEG00000018126.1)". Lineage: Eukaryota; Metazoa; Chordata; Aves; Passeriformes; Paridae. The record is from RNAcentral.
AGAGAAGGGAAUCCCCAAACAUCUGUGGUUUUGAUCUCCAGUGGCCUCUGAAGCAUGGCUUUGUUUUUUCUCCUCCUUUUGUCCUUCUCUUGCUGAGGAAAAUCAAUCAGGCAGUGUCAAUAUGACAUUCAGCACUUCAAAUACUCACUCUUAACUGACUUCAAGCCAAAUGACAGCCUGGCUGUGAAGAGCUCACCUGAGUGUUUAAAAUGAGGGGGGUUUAUACCACAGACUAGUUUCCAGGAUUAAUUAAGAAACCCCCAUGCAGAGAUAUGCAGCUUAAUUACUUGCUGAUAACUCAACAUUAGCAAUGGAUUCUUGAUCCUCCUUCUGCCUCUGGGCCUUGCCCUCCAGGCAGUGGUGAUGGCUUGUGAGAGAAACCUGACUCCUUUGAAGAGCUGGAUGAGUGAAUACUGAGCUGGGACAAAGUUUAAUGCUCUGAGGAUGGAACCCCUGAGGCCACAAAGUGACCUAUUGGAAACAGUAUUGAUGACUUGGAUAUAUGCACUACAAAUAUGUUAGUCCCAGCUCAUUUGCUGUCAGUAAAUUGUCUCCUCGUUAAAGAAGAAUGAUGAUGACUCAAAUUAUAGUUGAUGUUGCAUAGCAAAUAACAAUUAAAUAUCAUAGAGGAGCUUUGGCUAUGAUGUUGAAUGUUCUUUCUCUGAAGUUUUAAGUGUAAUCACUUAAUGAUGGUGUUAUGUGAAUAAGUCAAGAGGAAAUUUUAUGAUGGUACAAAGAAAUCAGCUAUGAGCACAGAUCAGUUAUAAUACAGGAGCAAUGAGUUAUUUUACCUAUGAAACUGCCUCAGACUUGCCAAGUACCUCAGCUAAGCUGCCUUUUGCAUGACAUGUGAUAAAAAUUUUGCUAACC